RNAcentral lists this unclassified non-coding RNA (139 nucleotides) under soil metagenome. RNAcentral's name for it is "partial internal transcribed spacer 1". The record is from RNAcentral.
CCUAGAGUUGUAGGCUUUGCCUGCUAUCUCUUACCCAUGUCUUUUGAGUACCUUACGUUUCCUCGGUGGGUUCGCCCACCGAUUGGACAAAUUCAAACCCUUUGCAGUUGAAAUCAGCGUCUGAAAAACUUAAUAGUUA